This 253-nucleotide ribosomal RNA is filed under the name uncultured bacterium. RNAcentral describes it as "partial 16S ribosomal RNA". It matches the Rfam family "Bacterial small subunit ribosomal RNA", at positions 524 to 776 of the family's 1533-position model. The record is from RNAcentral.
UACGGGGGGGGCAAGCGUUGUUCGGAAUUACUGGGCGUAAAGGGCGCGUAGGUGGCCAACUAAGUCAGACGUGAAAUCCCUCGGCUUAACCGGGGAACUGCGUCUGAUACUGGAUGGCUUGAGUUUGGGAGAGGGACGCGGAAUUCCAGGUGUAGCGGUGAAAUGCGUAGAUGUCUGGAGGAACACCGGUGGCGAAGGCGGCGUCCUGGACCAAUACUGACACUGAAACGCGAAAGCCAGGGGAGCAAACGGG